CGGUAAUUCCAGCUCCAAUAGCGUAUACUAAAGUUGUUGCAGUUAAAAAGCUCGUAGUUGGAUUUCUGCGGGGACGGAGCGGCCGGUCGCAACUUGCGACUCGAGCUAGCGCUUUCCCCGCAUCCUGCCGCGUACCGUGCUACCAUUAGUUUGGUGGCGCUGGGGAUCGGCUCGAUUACUUUGAGAAAAAUAGAGUGUUCAAAGCAGGCCACACGCCUUGAAUAAGUUAGCAUGGAAUAAUGACUAAGGACUUUGGUUCUUUUCGUUGGUGUUCGGGACUGAAGUAAUGAUUGAUAGGGACAGUUGGGGCGGUCCGUAUUCCAAAGCGAGAGGUGAAAUUCUUAGGCCUUCGGAAGACGAACAGCUGCGAAAGCGUUCCGCAAGGAUGUUCCCUUUGAUCAAGAACGAAAGUUGGGGGAUCGAAGACGAUCAGAUACCGUCGUAGUCUCAACUAUAAACUAUACCAGCUAGGGAUCGGCCAACGUUUAAUUAUUCGACUUGGUCGGCACCUUAUGAGAAAUCAAAGCAUCUGGGUUCCGGGGGGAGUAUGGUCGCAAGGCUGAAACUUAAAGGAAUUGACGGAAGGGCACCACCAGCCGUGGAGCCUGUGGCUUAAUUUGACUCAACACGGGAAAACUUACCAGGUCCGGACAUAGUAAGGAUUGACAGAUUGAUAGCUCUUUCUUGAUUCUGUGGGUGGUGGUGCAUGGCCGUUUUUAGUCGGUGGAUGUGAUCUGUCUGCUUAAUUGCGUUAACGGACGAGACCCCAGCCUGCUAAAUAGCGCGGCCGAGCUUUGCUCGGUGCGAGCUUCUUAGAGGGACCAUGAUGCGCGAUAGCACAAGGAAGUUUGGGGCAACAACAGGUCUGUGAUGCCCUUAGAUGUUCUGGGCCGCACACGGGCUACACUGGCGCCUGCAACGAGCAUAUCAGCUGGCCCGAGAGGGUCUUGGCUAAUCUUUGGAACCGGCGCCGUGCUUGGGAUUGACCAUUGCAAUUGUUGGUCAUGCAACGAGGAAUGCCUUGUAAACGCGAGUCAUCAGCUCGCAUUGAAUACGUCCCUGCCCUUUGUACACACCGCCCGUCGCUCCUACCGAUGAAUGUUCCGAUGAAAUUUUCGGAGAGCGCCGGAGAACGGGGCUCCGCCCUGCAGAACUGGAGGCUCAAAGUCACUUAAAUCUGAACAUUUCGAGGAAGGAGAAGUCGUAACAAGGUAACC
RNAcentral lists this ribosomal RNA (1217 nucleotides) under uncultured Rhizaria. RNAcentral describes it as "SSU rRNA". It matches the Rfam family "Eukaryotic small subunit ribosomal RNA", at positions 577 to 1804 of the family's 1831-position model. The record is from RNAcentral.